GAACGCUGGCGGCGUGCUUAACACAUGCAAGUCGAACGCGAAAGGGACUUCGGUCCUGAGUAAAGUGGCGCACGGGUGAGUAACGCGUAGAUAACCUGUCUUCAUGUCUGGAAUAAUACGCCGAAAGGGGUACUAAUACCGGAUAUUCUUGCUUUUCAUAAGUUAUGCAAGCAAAGGUGGCCUCUGCAUAUGCUACUGCAUGAAGAGGGGUCUGCGUACCAUUAGCUAGUAGGUGGGGUAAUGGCCUACCUAGGCGACGAUGGUUAGCGGGUCUGAGAGGAUGAUCCGCCACACUGGCACUGGAACACGGGCCAGACUCCUACGGGAGGCAGCAGUGAGGAAUAUUGCGCAAUGGGGGAAACCCUGACGCAGCGACGCCGCGUGAGUGAAGGAAGGCCUUCGGGUCGUAAAGCUCUGUCAAGAGGAAAGAAGUGUACAAUGGCUAAUACCUGUUGUAUUUGACGGUACCUCUAAAGGAAGCACCGGCUAACUCCGUGCCAGCAGCGGC
RNAcentral lists this ribosomal RNA (508 nucleotides) under uncultured bacterium. RNAcentral's name for it is "bacterial SSU rRNA". It matches the Rfam family "Bacterial small subunit ribosomal RNA", at positions 31 to 518 of the family's 1533-position model. The record is from RNAcentral.